CCCUAGCCCCGGUAGUAGCGACAUCCUUUAGGGUCGGGGUUCGACCCUAAAGAUAGAGCGGAUAACGGGACUUUUC
Molecule: non-coding RNA, 76 nt
Organism: Flavobacterium sp. LM5
Lineage: Bacteria; Pseudomonadati; Bacteroidota; Flavobacteriia; Flavobacteriales; Flavobacteriaceae
Source: Rfam